Molecule: long non-coding RNA, 3093 nt
Filed under: Solanum tuberosum (potato)
Lineage: Eukaryota; Viridiplantae; Streptophyta; Magnoliopsida; Solanales; Solanaceae
Description: long non-coding RNA (STUB_LNC003285)
Source: RNAcentral
CAAAAUCCCAUCAGCAGACGCCCAAACCAGACGACCCCACCACUGUCCAUCACGCUCUUCUUCUUCACGGGAAGAUCGAAAUUCAACGAGCAAAUCGCGCUGCAAACCUGAAAAUCUCAUCCAAACCCAUACCUUAGCAUCCCCAAUGUCAAACCCUCACGUCCCAUUUUCCCCCUUUAGCGGAAGUCACUAUUUUUUCCCAUCCCCCUUCACUGUUGAUCUCGAAUGGAGCAAAGGAAAAUUCAAAUUUUCUUUUGAAAUUUUCCAACGGAUUCACCACCCCCCCCAAAGUUGCUCCAUUUUUUCCUAUAUAUAGUUCUCUCCCUCAGUGAUUAAGAAAACGGAAGAAAAAGAUCGGAUUUUGAGGGCAAUAUUUCACAUACGAAAAUAGCUUACAAAAGGUCACUUGGUUUCAAUUUUAUUUGUUUCCUUUGGUCUGCUCGAGUCUGAACUAGUGUGGUAGGAGAAUCGUGGAAAUCGCUCCCCUGCUCGUUGUCUCGGUUCUCUGCUUCUUAAAAGGUAAAUAACUCGUAUCCCUUUUGUUCACUUUGAAUUAAGUGUGGAGAAAUGAUGUAGUAUUCCGAAGAUACCCGUAUUUGAUUUGUUUGAGUCUUAGCUCUGAAAUUAGUGAUGCAUAUUUCGUUUUCGAGAUGAGCUAAUAUCAUUCGAGUUUGUGGGGUCUUCUCGGACUCGUGGUUGUGAUGUUUGCUUCAAGGUUUAGUCUAUUUACUUAUUAAGCGCCAUGUUACUGCCUUAUUCUCAUUGUUGAAAUAAUGUUUGUUGUCAUGUUAUAUGUUUGGAGGGCGCCAAACGAAUUAUGUUGUUACAUCUUUAACUUUUUGUGGAUACAUGGUUUCCAUUCUUUAAAGCAUGUUCAAAAUCUGUCCAUAUCCAGUUUAAAAAAUUUCCGCUCACGUAUUUCACAUCAUGUAUUGAUCAUAUAUAUAUCUUGCAUUUGGCAGAAUCCUAAAGGAUAAUUUGGAAUAAAAUUAGCCCAUGGCCAUCUCUAGUUCAUACCUAUAUGCAGCACAUUGUUUUAUUUUAUUUUCGAAGUGUUGGUGUUCAUAUGACUCUCGUUGGGCUCGUUUGAAUGUGCCAAGCAAUGAUUGUUAAUGCUUCGUUCCAUAUGUAUCUUAUAUAUGAGUUGCUACGAUUUUCACACUUGGAACAAACAUGCCAUUUUUACUUUAUUUUUCUAUUCCUUGGUUAGAGUUGCUAGUGUUAAUUCACUUCAUUAUCCAUGCUUAAAGGUCAUACAUUUUUUAGCAUAAAAUGUUUAUGGUUUCUGUUGAAAUUCUAUCUUUCCUUGCUUUGGUGUGAUGCAUUAGAUUUGUGGUUAAUAUUUGGUAUUAUUUGUCAUGGCUAGAUCUUGGAUAAUAGUCAUCUUAUUCAAAUAUCUAAGUAGUGUUUAAGCCUUUCCAAAAUCAAAUACCCAUUGGUUUUCUCUUCAUUCAAUUCAUAGGUGUUUUAUUUUUCUUAAAUCCGUGUCUUGAUGUUUACCACCUUCGCUUCGAACGGUGCUGUCCCCAUUCACGUUUUUUUUACAGCAUACUUAGUUCACUGCAUUUUGUAUCAUUUUCUUCAAUUUGGCUAAAAGGAACAAAUUAUUGUCUGGGUAUGUGCAUUAAAUAGUGUGCUACCCAUUUUAUUAAAAUGGUCAGUAGUUUUGUUAAUCCCUCUUGUGUUUAAUUUGGUUGAAAAUUAUGUUCAAAUCCAUAUUCCUUUAGCCAUAUGUUGCUUGCUUUGCUUUUGUUUUCUUUUGUAUGAACUCACCCCUUCCGAGUCCAUGGUGGACCUCUCUCUUACAUCGUUGAGAUGAGCCGUAAAGGCUCAAUUUUACCCUUUUCUCGAGUCAACCCUUCUAUAUAUUUGGUAGCCAUUACUCGUUGAAUAUACACUACUUUUGGAUUUUCUUGGAGAUGUAAAAAUUGUAGUGGCCCAAAUUAACUUCUCGGCAUCGCAUUACAUAUAUUUAUCCGGGGCUUGCACUAGUAAUAUUCUCAUGUAGAUGCUGUAAAGUUUCAGGCACAUAUGUUGCUCAUGAUUGCCUAGGAAGGUUUAACGAGUGUUUAUCAAAUUUAUGUAGCCUUAUGUAUGAUGUUUAUUACACCAUUGCUUGGUUUAGUAGGUUUAUUACACAUUUGUAGCCUUAGGAAAGUUUAAUGAGUGUUUGUUGUCGAAGUUUUGGUAAGUGAUAUAGUGAAGGCGUCUUGACGAAAUUGUUACCUUACCCGAGUUAUUAUCUUCUCGACUAUAAAAUUGCACCUGUAGAUCCUUGGUAAUCCUGACCAUAAUGUUGUUUUUUUUGAACGAUUUUAUUUGGCACCUCAAUUAACUUUAAUUAUAGAUUUUUUUUUAGGAAGAAAACAUCUAGUUACAGUAAUAGUUUACUAUUGUGAAUUUAUAAUUUGUGCUUUGUCUUCAUGUGGUGACAUUUUAUUUCAUCUUUUUGUAUUGGUUCGUUAUGAUCCAUUCCUCCUUACUAAUCGUUUUCUUCUUAUUCUCUUUGCAUAAAUUCCCUCGGAUCAAGUUCUUCAGACUCCUCUUUGCCUUGUAUUUUGAGUUGGGGUUGAAACCCAAUGCUUUCCCUAUUUUUUUGAGGCAACCUCUAUGCAUUCGGAAGCUGUUACAGGUCCUGGAGGCCCAUCAUGUUUGCUGAAAAUUAAUUCAAAGCCCAAGAAAUGAGUUGUAUACAUAUUGUAUACAGCAGUAUACACUCGUUAUACAGCGAAUUACAGGUCAAAAAUGCAAAAAUACAGAGAUGAGGCGAAAUACAGGUGUUCGGAAGCAAGAGAUACAUGAAAAGAGCUAAUAUAUACGCUCAUAUACACUGAUAUACGCUCAGUGUAUACGCAAAAACGGGAAUUGAAAUAGUUCAAAAUUUGCAGCGAAAUUGACCCAAAAAGGGGCCCAAUUUCCUGAUAUCUUUUACUCUUUUAAUUGAUUUGCUUAUGCUUGACUAAUUUUAUUUAACUCUAACUAUAAUUUAUUUUAAUUAACUUAAUUAGAUCCCUCAAAAGAUGAGUUAUUUUCUUAGUGUUGGUUUGUUUUAAAUAUUCUUUUUGUGUUGUGGUCAUUUAUUUUACUAAUCAA